UGACUUGCCCCUGAAGGAUGAAAUUAAGUUGUUUGAGACCAUCACUUUGAUUUUACUCAACCAGCUAAGGAAGAAGUACUAUUAUUUUUGUACUGCGAAUUAAUCUACUGCACUGCACAAUGCUGACCUGUCACUCACAGUGACAACACAGACAAGGGGCCCACUUUGAUCUCCAGCAAGUUAAGGUUGCAAGCAGGAGUCAGUGUGGAGAUAGAGUUCCUACUGCAGACUCUGAGACACCGACACUCCGGGCUAGGGGAACAGCCAUCCUACGGCGAGCAGGGGAGGCGCCAGCAGGAUGAAAAAUGCUGAUGCUAGAAGAGAAACCAGAGAAACGGUGAAAGAAACGGAUGCUCCUGACCAUGUGCCUCCGAUUUGGCAAACGCGGAGUGGGAGUCCCUGGGACCUGGAGCAGCUCCUGUACUGACUCUUCACUCAGCUUCCCCUGCCUCGCUGUGUGACAGCACCAUCUUCACCUUACAGCCGCUCAGAAGAGUUCACCCACCGGCACAAGAGACAGAGCCAGCGAGAGGCUGGACCCGAGUGCCAGCCUUCUGAUCUCAUGUCUAGAUUCCUUCCCAGAUAGCUGACUCUCAGAAAUUGAAGUUGAUGCAUAGAACCUGUCCCAUUCACUCCACUGGAUCCUGACAAGGACCAAAUUCAAAGAGGCCAUAUUUAGGCUCCCAAGAUCUUUAGCAAUCGCAAAGCAUCUACACCUCCAGUAUGCCUCUGGAUGUAGAUCUACCAAGAAGAAAUGUGCUUGAGUAGAAUUCAGUUGCAACUUCUGCAGCCCCCUAGGGAAUGGCAACCUCCAAAGAAUGGAAUGUCUGAUUCCACAGAAGGUUGAGGGGGCCAGAGCUGUGGCUUAGUAUCUAAAGCCACCACCUGCAGUGCUGGCAUCCCAUAUGGUUGCUGGUUCGAGUCUCGGCUAUUUCACCUCUGAUCCAACUCUCUGCUAUGGCCUGGGGAAAGCAGUGGAAGGUGGUCCAAGUCCUUGGGCCCCUGUACCCACGUGGGAGACCUGGAGGAAGCUCCUGGCUCCUGGCUUCAGAUCAGCCCAGCUCUGGCUAUUGCAGCCAUUUGGGGAGUGAACAAGCGGAUGGAAGACCUCUAUCUCUCUGUGUCUCUCUUUCUCUCUCUUUGCCUUCACCUCUCUGUAACUAUGCCUUUCAAGUAAUAAAUGAAUAAA
Lepus europaeus (European hare) is the source of this 1189-nucleotide long non-coding RNA. RefSeq lists it as uncharacterized. Lineage: Eukaryota; Metazoa; Chordata; Mammalia; Lagomorpha; Leporidae. The transcript is spliced from 4 exons. The record is from RefSeq and is a predicted model, not a curated record.